GAUGAACGCUGGCGGCAGGCCUAACACAUGCAAGUCGAGCGGGCGUAGCAAUACGUCAGCGGCAGACGGGAGAGUAACACGUGGGAACGUGCCCUUUGGUUCGGAAUAACUCAGGGAAACUUGAGCUAAUACCGGAUAAGCCCUUCGGGGGAAGGAUUUAUUGCCAUUGGAGCGGCCCGCGUCGGAUUAGCUAGUUGGUGAGGUAAUGGCUCACCAAGGCGACGAUCCGUAGCUGGUCUGAGAGGAUGACCAGCCUCACUGGGACUGAGACACGGCCCAGACUCCUACGGGAGGCAGCAGUGGGGAAUAUUGGACAAUGGGCGCAAGCCUGAUCCAGCCAUGCCGCGUGGAUGAUGAAGGCCCUAGGGUUGUAAAGUCCUUUUAACGGGGAAGAUAAUGACGGUACCCGUAGAAUAAGCCCCGGCUAACUUCGUGCCAGCCGCCGCCGUAA
This 451-nucleotide ribosomal RNA is filed under the name uncultured bacterium. RNAcentral's name for it is "partial 16S ribosomal RNA". It matches the Rfam family "Bacterial small subunit ribosomal RNA", at positions 28 to 523 of the family's 1533-position model. The record is from RNAcentral.